This 405-nucleotide unclassified non-coding RNA is filed under the name soil metagenome. RNAcentral describes it as "partial contains 5.8S ribosomal RNA, internal transcribed spacer 2, and large subunit ribosomal RNA". The stretch from base 1 to 121 matches the Rfam family "5.8S ribosomal RNA", at positions 35 to 154 of the family's 154-position model. The record is from RNAcentral.
GAUGAAGAACGCAGCGAAAUGCGAUAAGUAAUGUGAAUUGCAGAAUUCAGUGAAUCAUCGAAUCUUUGAACGCACCUUGCGCCCUUUGGCCAUUCCGAAGGGCAUGCCUGUUUGAGUAUCAUGAACACCUCAACUCUUUAUGGUUUUCCAUGAUGAGCUUGGACUUUGGGGGUUUUGCUGGCCUAUGGUCGGCUCCUCUAAAAUAAAUCAGCUUACCGGUGUUUGGUGGGUAUCAUGGGUGUGAUAACUAUCUACGCUUGUGGUUUUUCCACCAGGUAACCUUCGACAGCGGAGGUUCACUGGAGCUCACAGAUGUCUCUCCUCAGCGAGGACAGCCCUUUGAAUGUUUGAUCUCAAAUCAGGUAGGACUACCCGCUGAACUUAAGCAUAUCAAUAAGCGGAGGA